Molecule: ribosomal RNA, 245 nt
Filed under: uncultured Sphingomonas sp.
Lineage: Bacteria; Pseudomonadati; Pseudomonadota; Alphaproteobacteria; Sphingomonadales; Sphingomonadaceae
Description: partial 16S ribosomal RNA
Rfam family: Bacterial small subunit ribosomal RNA
Source: RNAcentral
UACGGAGGGGGUUAGCGUUGUUCGGAAUUACUGGGCGUAAAGCGCACGUAGGCGGCUUUGUAAGUUAGAGGUGAAAGCCUGGUGCUCAACACCAGAACUGCCUUUAAGACUGCAUCACUUGAAUCAUGGAGAGGCGGGUGGAAUUCCGAGUGUAGAGGUGAAAUUCGUAGAUAUUCGGAAGAACACCAGUGGCGAAGGCGGCCCGCUGGACAUGUAUUGACGCUGAGGUGCGAAAGCGUGGGGAG